GACGAACGCUGGCGGCGUGCCUAACACAUGCAAGUCGAACGGGGCCCGCAAGGGUUCAGUGGCGAACGGGUGCGUAACACGUGAAGAAUUUGUCCAACGGCGGGGGAUAGCCGGCCCAACGGCCGGGUAAUACCGCGUACGACCCGUCGGGGGGCAUCCCCUGAAGGUGAAAGCCGCAAGGCGCCGAUGGAGAACUUCGCGGCCUAUCAGCUAGUUGGUGAGGUCAUGGCUCACCAAGGCGACGACGGGAGCUGGUCCGAGAGGAUGACCAGCCACAUUGGGACUGAGACACGGCCCAGACUCCUACGGGAGGCAGCAGUGGGGAAUCUUGCGCAAUGGGCGAAAGCCUGACGCAGCGACGCCGCGUGA
This 369-nucleotide ribosomal RNA is filed under the name uncultured bacterium. RNAcentral describes it as "bacterial SSU rRNA". It matches the Rfam family "Bacterial small subunit ribosomal RNA", at positions 28 to 404 of the family's 1533-position model. The record is from RNAcentral.